RNAcentral lists this ribosomal RNA (520 nucleotides) under uncultured bacterium. Its description in RNAcentral is "bacterial SSU rRNA". It matches the Rfam family "Bacterial small subunit ribosomal RNA", at positions 8 to 518 of the family's 1533-position model. The record is from RNAcentral.
AGAGUUUGAUUAUGGCUCAGGAUGAACGCUAGCUACAGGCUUAACACAUGCAAGUCGAGGGGCAGCGGGAAGUUAGCUUGCUAACUUGCCGGCGACCGGCGCACGGGUGAGUAACGCGUAUCCAACCUUCCCCUUAGUAGGGCAUAGCCCGGCGAAAGUCGGAUUAAUACCCUAUGUUUUCCAAUGAGGACAUCUGAGCUGGAAUAAAGAUUCAUCGCUAAGGGAUGGGGAUGCGUCCGAUUAGCUUGCCGGCGGGUAACGGCCCACCGGGGCGACGAUCGGUAGGGGUUCUGAGAGGAAGGUCCCCCCACACUGGUACUGAGACACGGACCAGACUCCUACGGGAGGCAGCAGUGAGGAAUAUUGGUCAAUGGGCGCGAGCCUGAACCAGCCAAGUAGCGUGCAGGAUGACGGCCCUAUGGGUUGUAAACUGCUUUUAUAGGGGAAUAAAGUUUCCUACGCGUAGGAUUUUGUAUGUACCCUGUGAAUAAGGACCGGCUAAUUCCGUGCCAGCCGCAGC